This 481-nucleotide ribosomal RNA is filed under the name Leptobrachium leishanense (Leishan spiny toad). RNAcentral describes it as "partial 12S ribosomal RNA". It matches the Rfam family "Bacterial small subunit ribosomal RNA", at positions 848 to 1524 of the family's 1533-position model. Lineage: Eukaryota; Metazoa; Chordata; Amphibia; Anura; Megophryidae. The record is from RNAcentral.
UUGAUUAUUUACACCCACUAUUCGCCAGGGGACUACGAGCAAUAGCUUAAAACCCAAAGGACUUGGCGGUGCCCUACACCACCUAGAGGAGCCUGUUCUAUAAUCGAUAAUCCACGAUACACCUCACCGUUUCUUGCCAGACCGCCUAUAUACCGCCGUCGUCAACUUACCCCUUGAGGGAUACAUAGUAAGUUUAAGGGUAUUCACCAAAACGUCAGGUCAAGGUGUAGCGAAUGAAACGGGAAGAAAUGGGCUACAUUUUCUAUAUUAGAUUAUACGGACAACCAAUAUGAAACUUGGUUGCAAAGGAGGAUUUAGCAGUAAAAAGAAAUCAUCAAAUUCUUUUUAACACGGCCCUAGGGCGCGCACACACCGCCCGUCGCCCUCUUCGACUCUUUAAGAUUAAUCCAUGAUAAGUUAGCUAUGAAAUAGAAGAGGUAAGUCGUAACAUGGUAAGUAUACCGGAAGGUGUACUUGGAAC